RNAcentral lists this long non-coding RNA (1000 nucleotides) under Scleropages formosus (Asian bonytongue). Its description in RNAcentral is "lncRNA (ENSSFOG00015024274.1)". The record is from RNAcentral. Lineage: Eukaryota; Metazoa; Chordata; Actinopteri; Osteoglossiformes; Osteoglossidae.
AACAAUGACAAGCAGUUUCAUAACCGAAAGUGAAACUCUUAGGAUAGAGAAAGCGAAAGUAUAAGAUUCUCAAAGUGAAAAGGUCUGGACCCUUCUAGAAGAAACUCUGUGCAGCAGGACAUAUAAAAUUGAACUUAACACCUCAUCUCAGAAUAAAGAGAAGCUGUGCAGCAGAUGAAGUUGGAAAUGCAAAAUACACAAGAGCAUAGUCAAUCAAGCACGGAUGAAGUGAAAAAUGUCAAGGUCCCUGAAGAACAGCUGGAAGAUUCCCCUAAUCGAGCUCCUCUCUUAGGAAUGUGGCAGUUGGUCAAAGACAUUGCGAACUGGUUGUGGAGUUUCGUCCGCUCUCCAGUCAAAGUCCAUGUACAGUUUAGUGGCCCCACCCAGAAUGCCCACCAGACAUUUAUUAACAAGCUGCACAUGUCCCUGGAAGAGAGCAGCCUGGAAGACUGCAGUGUGAUCCUGGUCUUCUGGCUGAUCGUCACCCGGAUGGGGACAGAUAUGGAGGCAGCAAUAAGAGAAAUUCCAAGUGACAAACCCGUCAUUCUGGUGCUCAUACACCACAGUUACAACCCAGACCACAUUGAUGACAUUCCGAUCAGAGCACCCAGGAGCAACGUGGUAAAAGUGAUCCAGUGUGUUUUCCAUGAGACAGUUGGACUUCUGGAGUGUGGAUUGAAUCAACGAGCAGUGAGUGGAGUGAGAUCUGAACUGAAACAGUACUGGUCAGUGUACAACAUGUACUACAAAUCGCACAAGUAAAGUAAAAUAGUUCAGUUUCACGUAUCAUAUCAGCUGAACACUUGAAUGUUCUAGUGAAGCAUGUCAUGUUAAAUCAGUCACUCGGUAACUAUAUUAGUGGUUGUGUAGCAGCUAAAGUAGACAUGUGACCUCUGUGCUGUAGGUUAUAAGCCCAGGGUCACUGCAGAUGAACCCUUGAGUAUGGCCUAUACCCUUAAGUUCCUUCAUACAUACAAUAAAUUACGCAUCGUUUCCCUCA